UCACCAGUGAGGUACAUCCUUACCUGUUACUCCAGCAAUGGAGUUUCAGAACAUGAUGAAUGGAGAUAAUGAGAUAUGAUUAUAUCUUCCGCUUGCAGAGAAAAGCAACACUCUGCAAGACCCAUUCUGAA
Small nucleolar RNA from Nerophis lumbriciformis (worm pipefish), 131 nucleotides. RefSeq annotates it as U8 small nucleolar RNA. The record is from RefSeq and is a predicted model, not a curated record. Lineage: Eukaryota; Metazoa; Chordata; Actinopteri; Syngnathiformes; Syngnathidae.